GGGGAGGAAAGGGGAGAGCGCUGUAUCCUGAACACUGGGGAAGGAACGUGCUUCCAGAAAGGAGUGGUCCGCUGUGUCAUGUGCUACUUAGAGGUCAAGUAGAACAAGGAGGGAAGGACCCACUGACUCUGGCAACAUGGAAGUCAUCAGCUGACAUGCUGGCCCCGCGGCUUUCCCGAACGAAAGCAAGUUUCUCAGACGCCCUCGCAGCUAGGCACAGAAAUACGCCUCGUUCCAGCCAACAGGAGAACACAGAGGGUUUUGUGAAAAUAUGCAAGUUCCUAGAGCAGAUUUGCAGUGACAGGAGUGACCCAAGAGAGAAGGCAGGGGCGAUGAUUCUGAAGAAAAGGGGACAGGAGGAGGUCGUGAGCUUGGAGCAAGGAGGAGGAGAGGGUGAAGCCAAGCUAGUGAACUGUGGACUGGGUGAUGCCUCUGGGACACAGCUCCUUUCUGGACCAGUUGGCCACACUGCUGCAGGGCGUGAAGAGGGGGAGGGAAAUGCCCACAGAGCCAGCGUGGCCUCCACUCCGCCCCCAACCAGGCCUCUCUUGCCAGUUACUGAUCACACUCACCUGCCAUUCGCAGCUGCCACGCGAGACCCGCUGAGCUCUACCUGACCCAUUUUGACAGUAAUAUGGGGCGGCCUCAGAGAGCAUCAGGGAUACUCAAAGCAGAGCAGGCCCACUUUAUUUUCCUUUAUUAAAAAAUAAAAAGAUUCGAGACACGCACAGUCCCAACUCAUAAAGGGGCUGUACUGUAACCAGUGACUUAGUUUCGGGGUGAAGCCCAAACGGUCAUUGCCAAGAGUAUAGCUGAAUUGUGGCGCAGACUGCAAGCCUGAGGACUGGGAUUAU
This 854-nucleotide long non-coding RNA is filed under the name Equus caballus (horse). RNAcentral's name for it is "lncRNA (ENSECAG00000057787.1)". The record is from RNAcentral. Lineage: Eukaryota; Metazoa; Chordata; Mammalia; Perissodactyla; Equidae.